UAAUACCAGCGGUCCAAGUGGGACUCACAAUUACUGGGUCCAAAACAUCCGUAGCUGGCUUUGUAAGUUUCUUGUUAAAUUGUUAUUCUUAAGGUAAUAGCUGCAAGAAAUACUGCGAAGCUAGAGACUGGGAGACGUAGCGAGUACACCAAGGGUAGUAGUAAAAUACGUUAAUCCCUGUUGGACUAACAAUGGCGAAGGCACGCUACGAGAACAGAUCAGACAGUCAGGGAUGAAAGCGAGGGGCGCAAAACGGAUUAGAUACCCGUGUAGUCCUCGCUGUAAACGCUGCCUACUAAACAUUGUGACCUCCUCGAGAGAUUGCAGUGCUGAAGCGAAGGCGUAAGUAGGCUACCUGGGAAGUAUAGUCGCAAGACCG
RNAcentral lists this ribosomal RNA (379 nucleotides) under uncultured archaeon. RNAcentral describes it as "bacterial SSU rRNA". It matches the Rfam family "Archaeal small subunit ribosomal RNA", at positions 471 to 851 of the family's 1478-position model. The record is from RNAcentral.